Molecule: transfer RNA, 72 nt
Filed under: Bos taurus (domestic cattle)
Lineage: Eukaryota; Metazoa; Chordata; Mammalia; Artiodactyla; Bovidae
Also listed under: 3 other names
Rfam family: tRNA
About the family: Transfer RNA (tRNA) molecules are approximately 80 nucleotides in length. Their secondary structure includes four short double-helical elements and three loops (D, anti-codon, and T loops).
Source: Rfam by way of RNAcentral
UCCAUGGUGGCUUAGAUGGUAAAGCGUCUGCCUACAAGGCGGGAGACCCAGGUUCGAUCCCUGGGUCGGGAA